This 501-nucleotide ribosomal RNA is filed under the name uncultured bacterium. RNAcentral describes it as "partial 16S ribosomal RNA". It matches the Rfam family "Bacterial small subunit ribosomal RNA", at positions 30 to 523 of the family's 1533-position model. The record is from RNAcentral.
AUUGAACGCUGGCGGCAGGCUUAACACAUGCAAGUCGAGCGGAGAUGAGGUGCUUGCACCUUAUCUUAGCGGCGGACGGGUGAGUAAUGCUUAGGAAUCUGCCUAUUAGUGGGGGACAACAUUCCGAAAGGAAUGCUAAUACCGCAUACGUCCUACGGGAGAAAGCAGGGGAUCUUCGGACCUUGCGCUAAUAGAUGAGCCUAAGUCGGAUUAGCUAGUUGGUGGGGUAAAGGCCUACCAAGGCGACGAUCUGUAGCGGGUCUGAGAGGAUGCUCCGCCACACUGGGACUGAGACAGGGCCCAGACUCCUACGGGAGGCAGCAGUGGGGAAUAUUGGGCAAUGGGCGGAACCCUGAUCCAGCCAUGCCGCGUGUGUGAAGAAGGCCUUAUGGCUGUAAAGCACUUUAAGCGAGGAGGAGGCUACUGAGACUAAUACUCUUGGAUAGUGGACGUUACUCGCAGAAUAAGCACCGGCUAACUCUGUGCCAGCCGCCGCCGUAA